RNAcentral lists this ribosomal RNA (374 nucleotides) under uncultured bacterium. RNAcentral's name for it is "bacterial SSU rRNA". It matches the Rfam family "Bacterial small subunit ribosomal RNA", at positions 28 to 403 of the family's 1533-position model. The record is from RNAcentral.
GACGAACGCUGGCGGCGUGCUUAACACAUGCAAGUCGAGCGGUAAGGCCCUUUCGGGGGUACACGAGCGGCGAACGGGUGAGUAACACGUGGGUGACCUGCCCUCAGCUCUGGGAUAAGCCUGGGAAACUGGGUCUAAUACUGGAUAUGACUCCACGGUGCAUGUCGUGGGGUGGAAAGCCUUGUGCGGCUGAGGAUGGGCCCGCGGCCUAUCAGCUUGUUGGUGGGGUGANGGCCUACCAAGGCGACGACGGGUAGCCGGCCUGAGAGGGCGACCGGCCACACUGGGACUGAGACACGGCCCAGACUCCUACGGGAGGCAGCAGUGGGGAAUCUUGCGCAAUGGGCGAAAGCCUGACGCAGCGACGCCGCGUG